AUUGAACGCUGGCGGCAUGCCUUACACAUGCAAGUCGAACGGCAGCACGGGUGCUUGCACCUGGUGGCGAGUGGCGAACGGGUGAGUAAUACAUCGGAACAUGUCCUGUAGUGGGGGAUAGCCCGGCGAAGGCCGGAUUAAUACCGCAUACGAUCUACGGAUGAAAGCGGGGGACCUUCGGGCCUCGCGCUAUAGGGUUGGCCGAUGGCUGAUUAGCUAGUUGGUGGGGUAAAGGCCUACCAAGGCGACGAUCAGUAGCUGGUCUGAGAGGACGACCAGCCACACUGGGACUGAGACACGGCCCAGACUCCUACGGGAGGCAGCAGUGGGGAAUUUUGGACAAUGGGCGAAAGCCUGAUCCAGCAAUGCCGCGUGUGUGAAGAAGGCCUUCGGGUUGUAAAGCACUUUUGCCCGGAAAGAAAUCCUUGGCCCUAAUACGGUCGGGGGAUGACGGUACCGGAAGAAUAAGCACCGGCUAACUACGUG
Molecule: ribosomal RNA, 486 nt
Filed under: uncultured bacterium
Lineage: Bacteria
Description: partial 16S ribosomal RNA
Rfam family: Bacterial small subunit ribosomal RNA
Source: RNAcentral